AUGGGUUUGAAUAGAUUGAUGGAUUGCACGAUACCUUGCUUGAUCUUUCUUGCUGCGAGUCUACUACAUGUACAUGUGCACUCCGAUGCUGAUUCCUUAGAUGAAGGAUUCAUCAGCAUAGAUUGCGGGCUUCCAAGUGGAUCCAGCUACCUGGACGAGAAAACAGGUCUUAACUACACUUCAGACAAUGGGUACAUAAACAUGGGAGAGAACCACAACAUCUCUGCAGAGUACAAUGCGCAUGAACUGCUCAGGUCAAGUUUGAACCUGAGAAGCUUCCCCAAUGGAGGCCGGAACUGCUACACCUUAUCUCCUGCCACGGCAGGCCUCAAGUACCUCGUGAGAGUAACGUUCUUGCACGGGAAUUAUGAUGGUAAGGAGCGUGACCUCGUCAGGUCGCCACUGAUGUUUGAUCUCUACAUGGGGCUUCAUUUCUGGGACCGGAUCAGCGUCAGCAGCACUACAACGAUGUACGUCGCAGAGGCAAUCUUUGUGGCUGAGGUGAGCUCAAUAUCCGUUUGCUUGAUAGACAUUCACAGUGGGACUGCCUUUGUGUCGUCGCUGGAGAUGAGGCAGAUGAAAAGCUCAUUGUACCCAGUAGCCAUGCAAAAUCAGUCCAUCGCGCUCCAGGAACGGCGUAGCCUUGGUGCAAGCAGCCUAGUCAGGUGUCCGGAUGAUACCUACGAUCGUUUGUGGUGGCCAUCAAACGGUACCUCACGGUGGCUGAAUCUAUCGACAACAAGUGAAAUUAAACGUUAUUUAACUGAUACAGCUGAGGUGCCAAUUAGAGUGCUCCAAACUGCCGUCACCUCGCUUACCACCUCCAUCCCUCUCAACUUGUCGUGGGCAGUUCCUUCUGCCUGGCCGGCCAUGGCACCGCCUGGGUACUACCUCAAUUUGUAUUAUACUGAUUUCCAGAAUCAGAGCAGGCGGGAAUUUGAUAUAUAUUACAAUGGCUUCCUGUGGGAGACAAAUAAUCGGCCGGUCAGCCCAACCUAUCUCUUUGCAGACUAUACAGCUGCCACAGCUCUAUUCACUGAUGCCAGCGGUUUCUACAAUGUCUCCAUAAUCGCUACCAACACCUCUGUGCUCCCUCCCAUACUAAGUGCAUACAAGAUAUACUAUCUCAUCCAGCAUGAUGAUACCGCAACCGAUACACAAGAUGUUGAAGCAAUGAUGAAUAUCAAAAGUGAAUACCAAGUUGAGAAGAACUGGAUGGGUGACCCAUGUUUACCCGAAAAAUAUACAUGGAUUGGAUUGACAUGUAGAGGUGAUGGAGUGACAUCAAGAGUAAAAAGUUUGGACAUGUCCAACAGUGAUUUGCAAGGUGCAAUAUCUGAACAAUUUUCUUUUUUGAAAUCACUCCAAUACUUGAAUUUGUCAUUCAAUAAUUUAUAUGGACCAGUGCCUGAUUCUUUGACAAACUUAUUGUCCCUUCGUGUCCUCGAUCUAUCAGGGAAUCAUCUUGAUGGUCCAAUUCCUGAAGCUUUAUGCAUGGCACGCUCACUUACUUUAAGGUAUGACACCAUAAAUGGAGAUCCAUGCAAUGGAAAAUCACCACAUAAGGAAAACACCCUCCUCAUAACUGUCGUAGCAGUACCCGUGGUGAUAAUGGCAUUGCUGGCAUGUACAUUGACAGUGUUUUGUUUCUGCAGAAAGCAAGUUCCAAGUGUGCUACUGGGAUGUGUUGAUCUGCCAGGUCCCAAAAGUCAAGAAAACUGUAAAGGUCACAUACACACAUCCGACAGCCGUGAAUUCACAUAAGCAGAGUUGGUUGCAAUAACAAACAAUUUUUCCGCAUGCAUUGGUGAAGGAGGUUAUGGACCUGUCUUCCAUGGCCAAUUAAAAGAUGGUACUCAGGUUGCUGUCAAGAUGCAUUCUCCAACAUCAGCAACAGGAAAAGGAAUGGAAGAGUUUUUAGCUGAGGUUGGGAGCUUAACAACCGUGCACCAUAGGUAUCUCGUUGUGCUGGUUGGCUACUGCACUGACAAGGACCAUUUAGCUCUAAUUUAUGAGUACAUGCCUAAUGGAAGUCUUUAUGAUAACAUACGAGGCAGAAAUGCAAUUGUUCAGACACUGGGAUGGCAUGAUCGAGCACGGAUUGCACUUGAAGCUGCUCAAGGUGUACUCUGGAGGAAACACUGCAUUUCUUGAUUUUGCCAGUUAAAUGCACAAGCAAUAUAUGAUAACAUGUACUAUCUUACAUAGGUUUGGACUACUUGCACACGGGAUGCGUAUUACCAAUAACUCAUAGAGACUUGAAGGCGCACAACAUUCUUCUAGGACAUGACAUGGUUGCUAAGAUCUCAGAUUUUGGAUUGUCCAAGUCAUACAUCAAUGUGGCACAAAGUCACAUAUCUGUGACAGCUGCAGGAACUCUAGGCUACAUCGAUCCAGAGUACUGUGUUAGCGGCAGGCUCACCACAAGCAGUGAUGUCUUCAGCUUUGGAGUGGUUUUACUAGAGAUUGUCACAGGUGAACCUCCAAUCUUGCCGACCCCUGUGCAUAUUGUGCAGCGUGUAAAGGAGAAGGUUAUCAUGGGCGAUAUUGAGGCAAUUGUUGAUCGAGGACUUCACUGUCAAUAUGACUUCAGUUCUAUUUGGAAGGUUGUGGACAUGGCCCUGCUUUGCACAAGAGAGGUAUCCAGUGAGAGGCCAACAAUGAGUAUGGUGGUGGCUCAGCUAAAGGACGCUCUAGCACUGGAAGAAUCACGUGUAAGUUCAAGCACCAUUAGCCAAGUCGGUUCUAAUGUGGACCUGUCAAUCAGCUGGGUAGCAUCAGGAAGAUGAAGCCUAAGUGAUCCAUUCUGAAAUUACUCUUUAAAUAUUGGUGUAUUCAUGGACAUUUGUGCCUGUCUAAUGGAGUCCUAGACACGUACGCUACAACUUGAGAGAUGUAUCUGUGACAUAUAGCAUAUCAUGCAUUCUGUAUCCUAUAGAACUAUGCAAUGUCUGAAAGUUUAGCUUUCUAGGUGAUGUCUUGAGAGUAUUUCAAAGGUCAAUCAGAAAUACUACCUGAAAAACCUAUAACAGGAUGUCAGAAUUGCCACUUCCAAGUUUGGAAGUUCUUCUGCAAACUGGAGCAAUAUGUAAAGCUUAAAAGAUUACCCGGGUCUGUAUUUUCUGUCACAUCUCUCCA
Molecule: ribosomal RNA, 3138 nt
Filed under: Triticum aestivum (bread wheat)
Lineage: Eukaryota; Viridiplantae; Streptophyta; Magnoliopsida; Poales; Poaceae
Description: partial small subunit ribosomal RNA
Source: RNAcentral